GAGUUUGAUCGUGGCUCAGAUUGAACGCUGGCGGCAUGCCUUACACAUGCAAGUCGAACGGCAGCACGGGAGCUUGCUCCUGGUGGCGAGUGGCGAACGGGUGAGUAAUGCAUCGGAACGUAUCCUGGAGUGGGGGAUAACGUAGCGAAAGUUACGCUAAUACCGCAUAUUCUGUGAGCAGGAAAGCGGGGGACCUUCGGGCCUCGCGCUCUUGGAGCGGCCGAUGUCGGAUUAGCUAGUUGGUGAGGUAAAGGCUCACCAAGGCGACGAUCCGUAGCAGGUCUGAGAGGAUGAUCUGCCACACUGGAACUGAGACACGGUCCAGACUCCUACGGGAGGCAGCAGUGGGAAUUUUGGACAAUGGGGGCAACCCUGAUCCAGCCAUG
Molecule: ribosomal RNA, 386 nt
Filed under: bacterium enrichment culture clone ALO1_GLFRUDD03FKHYM
Lineage: Bacteria
Also listed under: 1 other name
Description: bacterial SSU rRNA
Rfam family: Bacterial small subunit ribosomal RNA
Source: RNAcentral